GUAGGUGGCAAGCGUUGUCCGGAAUUAUUGGGCGUAAAGCGCGCGCAGGCGGUUCUUUAAGUCUGAUGUGAAAGCCCACGGCUCAACCGUGGAGGGUCAUUGGAAACUGGAGAACUUGAGUACAGAAGAGGAAAGCGGAAUUCCACGUGUAGCGGUGAAAUGCGUAGAGAUGUGGAGGAACACCAGAGGCGAAGGCGGCUUUCUGGUCUGUAACUGACGCUGAGGCGCGAAAGCGUGGGGAGCAAACAGGGAUUAGAUACCCUGGUAGUCCACGCCGUAAACGGUGAGUGCUAAGUGUUAGGGGGUUUCCGCCCCCUUAGUGCUGCAGCUAACGCAUUAAGCACUCCGCCUGGGGAGUACGGCCGCAAGGCUG
This 373-nucleotide ribosomal RNA is filed under the name uncultured organism. RNAcentral describes it as "partial 16S ribosomal RNA". It matches the Rfam family "Bacterial small subunit ribosomal RNA", at positions 527 to 896 of the family's 1533-position model. The record is from RNAcentral.